UGGGGAAUAUUGGACAAUGGAGGAAACUCUGAUCCAGCAAUUCUGUGUGUGUGAAGAAGGUUUUAGGACUGUAAAACACUUUUAGUAGGGAAGAAAAAAAUGACGGUACCUACAGAAGAAGCAACGGCUAAAUACGUGCCAGCAGCCGCGGUAAUACGUAUGUUGCGAGCGUUAUCCGGAAUUAUUGGGCUUAAAGGGCAUCUAGGCGGUAAGACAAGUUGAAGGUGAAAACCUGUGGCUCAACCAUAGGCUUGCCUACAAAACUGUUGAACUAGAGUACUGGAAAGGUGGGUGGAACUACACGAGUAGUGGUGAAAUUCGUAGAUAUGUGUAGGAAUGCCGAUGAUGAAGAUAACUCACUGGACAGAAACUGACGCUGAAGUGCGAAAGCUAGGGGAGCAAACAGG
This 407-nucleotide ribosomal RNA is filed under the name Verrucomicrobiota bacterium. Its description in RNAcentral is "Verrucomicrobia bacterium partial 16S ribosomal RNA". It matches the Rfam family "Bacterial small subunit ribosomal RNA", at positions 355 to 776 of the family's 1533-position model. Lineage: Bacteria; Pseudomonadati; Verrucomicrobiota. The record is from RNAcentral.